GCGCAGCAGGCGCGAAACCUCCGCAAUACACGAAAGUGUGACGGGGCCAUCCCGAGUGCCGUCCGCUGAGGACGGCUUUUCCCCAGUGUACACAGCUGGGGGAAUAAGGAGAGGGCAAGCCUGGUGUCAGCCGCCGCGGUAAUACCAGCUCUCCGAGUGGUGGGGACGCUUAUUGGGCCUAAAGCAUCCGUAGCCGGCUGGGCAAGUCCUCCGUUAAAUCCAACGAUUCAAUCGUUGGGCUGCGGGGAUACUGUCCAGCUUGGGGGCGGGAGAGGCCGACGGUAUUCCCGGGGUAGGGAGAAAUCCUAUAAUCCCGGGAGGACCACCAGUGGCGAAGGCUGUCGGCUAGAACGCGCCCGACGGUGAGGGAUGAAGGC
This 377-nucleotide ribosomal RNA is filed under the name uncultured microorganism. RNAcentral's name for it is "bacterial SSU rRNA". It matches the Rfam family "Archaeal small subunit ribosomal RNA", at positions 330 to 711 of the family's 1478-position model. The record is from RNAcentral.